UUACUCUGGUUUCUCUUCAUAACGCACAAGCCUUUCGCCUUUUACUAAAGCUUCCGGGAGAGGAAAGGAACGCAUGAUGUUGUUUUUAUUUUUUGGUGUGCUUUGCUGUUUGGUUAG
Small nuclear RNA from Etheostoma spectabile (orangethroat darter), 117 nucleotides. RefSeq annotates it as U5 spliceosomal RNA. The record is from RefSeq and is a predicted model, not a curated record. The transcript has a single exon. Lineage: Eukaryota; Metazoa; Chordata; Actinopteri; Perciformes; Percidae.